AGUUAUGUAACUGUCCAGCCACAAAUCACUUAUUAAACAACUGGAUUCAGAAGACCAAGAUCUGCAUUUGGGUCACUCCAGUUAUCUUGAGAUCUGGGACCCAGGUGGCUGGGGUGGCAGCUGAUCAUGUCAGGAGGACUCCUCUGCACAACAUCACAAGCACAGGAGAGAAUGCUAAACUUGAUUGGGAGCUCACAGAAGACCCCUGGAACCCAGAGCAAUAAGAUGAAUGCAUGAUAUCUCUUGGUAAAAUGGCCCAGAAGAAACACAGGAAGGAGUUAUGAAAAGAUAACACCCCCUUUGACUGACACAUGAGGCCUUCUCUGGAGGUAAGCUGGGGUUAUAAAACCUUCCAUGAGUGAGAGGCCGAAUCCAUCAGUCAUCUCAGAAAACCUCACGGCCAGUUCUACUCCAUAUGAAAUCUGUCUGGGCAUCAAUCUACUGAUGGAUGCAAUGAAGAUGUGGCUCAACACUAUUCUUACUGUGAUUCAGUGGAGUUUCGUACUCGGCAUUGGAUGGCUGCAUAACAUCCAGGAGAGACAUAAACAUAAGAAGAAAACUUAGGAAUGGAAUCAUUAUCAAGAAAAAACAAACCACAAAGGAAAGGUGAGUGUGUACUGGAAAAGUUCAGCCUGACAGAUACUGCCCUAGAUUCAGUGAUUUGC
Molecule: long non-coding RNA, 665 nt
Filed under: Homo sapiens (human)
Lineage: Eukaryota; Metazoa; Chordata; Mammalia; Primates; Hominidae
Description: HSALNT0339600
Source: RNAcentral